This 22-nucleotide microRNA is filed under the name Kallithea virus. RNAcentral describes it as "mature 5' miRNA". The record is from RNAcentral. Lineage: Naldaviricetes; Lefavirales; Nudiviridae.
CCUUGAUUUUAUUAUAUUGUUG